RNAcentral lists this transfer RNA (72 nucleotides) under Patescibacteria group bacterium. RNAcentral describes it as "tRNA-Glu". It matches the Rfam family "tRNA". Rfam says of the family: Transfer RNA (tRNA) molecules are approximately 80 nucleotides in length. Their secondary structure includes four short double-helical elements and three loops (D, anti-codon, and T loops). RNAcentral also lists the same sequence under 1 other name. The record is from RNAcentral.
GCCCCUAUCGUCUAGUGGUUAGGACAUCGGGUUCUCAACUCGAUAACACCGGUUCGACUCCGGUUGGGGGCG